UACGGAAGGCAGCAGUGGGGAAUAUUGCACAAUGGGCGAAAGCCUGAUGCAGCUAUGCCUCGUGUAUGAAGAAGGCCUUAGGGUUGUAAAGUACUUUCAUCGGGGAGGAAAAACAAAACUAAUAAUUUUAUUUCUUGACGUUACCCGAAAAAGAAGCACCGGCUAACUCCGUGCCAGCAGCCGCGGUAAUACGGAGGGUGCUAGCGUUAAUCAGAAUUACUGGGCGUAAAGAGCACGUAGGUGGUUUUUUUAAGUCAGAUGUGAAAUCCCUGGGCUUAACCUAGGAACUGCAUUUUGAAACUGAAAUACUAGAGUAUCGUAGAGGGAGGUAGAAUUCUAGGUGUAGCGGUGAAAUGCGUAGAUAUCUGGAGGAAUACCUGUGGCGAAAGCGGCCUCCUAAACGAAUACUGACACUGAGGGUGCGAAAGCGUGGGGAGCAAACAGGGAUUAGAUACC
RNAcentral lists this ribosomal RNA (456 nucleotides) under uncultured bacterium. RNAcentral describes it as "bacterial SSU rRNA". It matches the Rfam family "Bacterial small subunit ribosomal RNA", at positions 340 to 786 of the family's 1533-position model. The record is from RNAcentral.